ACGUAGGGUGCGAGCGUUAAUCGGAAUUACUGGGCGUAAAGCGUGCGCAGGCGGUUCGCUAAGACAGGUGUGAAAUCCCCGGGCUUAACCUGGGAAUGGCGCUUGUGACUGGCGGGCUGGAGUACGGCAGAGGGGGUUGGAAUUCCCGGUGUAGCGGUGAAAUGCGUAGAGAUCUGGAGGAACACCGAUGGCGAAGGCAGAUCACUGGCCCGAUACUGCCGCUCAUGCUCGAAAGCGUGGGGAGCAAACAG
This 251-nucleotide ribosomal RNA is filed under the name uncultured prokaryote. RNAcentral describes it as "partial 16S ribosomal RNA". It matches the Rfam family "Bacterial small subunit ribosomal RNA", at positions 525 to 775 of the family's 1533-position model. The record is from RNAcentral.